Molecule: ribosomal RNA, 2682 nt
Filed under: Salmonella enterica
Lineage: Bacteria; Pseudomonadati; Pseudomonadota; Gammaproteobacteria; Enterobacterales; Enterobacteriaceae
Description: partial 23S ribosomal RNA
Rfam family: Bacterial large subunit ribosomal RNA
Source: RNAcentral
AAUCCAUAGGUUAAUGAGGCGAACCGGGGGAACUGAAACAUCUAAGUACCCCGAGGAAAAGAAAUCAACCGAGAUUCCCCCAGUAGCGGCGAGCGAACGGGGAGGAGCCCAGAGCCUGAAUCAGCAUGUGUGUUAGUGGAAGCGUCUGGAAAGGCGCGCGAUACAGGGUGACAGCCCCGUACACAAAAGCGCAUGUGCUGUGAGCUCGAUGAGUAGGGCGGGACACGUGGUAUCCUGUCUGAAUAUGGGGGGACCAUCCUCCAAGGCUAAAUACUCCUGACUGACCGAUAGUGAACCAGUACCGUGAGGGAAAGGCGAAAAGAACCCCGGCGAGGGGAGUGAAAAAGAACCUGAAACCGUGUACGUACAAGCAGUGGGAGCACCCUUUGGGUGUGACUGCGUACCUUUUGUAUAAUGGGUCAGCGACUUAUAUUCUGUAGCAAGGUUAACCGAAUAGGGGAGCCGGAGGGAAACCGAGUCUUAACCGGGCGUUAAGUUGCAGGGUAUAGACCCGAAACCCGGUGAUCUAGCCAUGGGCAGGUUGAAGGUUGGGUAACACUAACUGGAGGACCGAACCGACUAAUGUUGAAAAAUUAGCGGAUGACCUGUGGCUGGGGGUGAAAGGCCAAUCAAACCGGGAGAUAGCUGGUUCUCCCCGAAAGCUAUUUAGGUAGCGCCUCGUGAAUUCAUCUCCGGGGGUAGAGCACUGUUUCGGCUAGGGGGCCAUCCCGGCUUACCAACCCGAUGCAAACUGCGAAUACCGGAGAAUGUUAUCACGGGAGACACACGGCGGGUGCUAACGUCCGUCGUGAAGAGGGAAACAACCCAGACCGCCAGCUAAGGUCCCAAAGUCAUGGUUAAGUGGGAAACGAUGUGGGAAGGCCCAGACAGCCAGGAUGUUGGCUUAGAAGCAGCCAUCAUUUAAAGAAAGCGUAAUAGCUCACUGGUCGAGUCGGCCUGCGCGGAAGAUGUAACGGGGCUAAACCAUGCACCGAAGCUGCGGCAGCGACACUGUGUGUUGUUGGGUAGGGGAGCGUUCUGUAAGCCUGUGAAGGUGUGUCGUGAGGCAUGCUGGAGGUAUCAGAAGUGCGAAUGCUGACAUAAGUAACGAUAAAGCGGGUGAAAAGCCCGCUCGCCGGAAGACCAAGGGUUCCUGUCCAACGUUAAUCGGGGCAGGGUGAGUCGACCCCUAAGGCGAGGCCGAAAGGCGUAGUCGAUGGGAAACGGGUUAAUAUUCCCGUACUUGGUGUUACUGCGAAGGGGGGACGGAGAAGGCUAUGUUGGCCGGGCGACGGUUGUCCCGGUUUAAGCGUGUAGGUGUGUGUUCCAGGUAAAUCCGGUUCACUUUAACACUGAGGCGUGACGACGAGGCACUACGGUGCUGAAGCAACAAAUGCCCUGCUUCCAGGAAAAGCCUCUAAGCAUCAGGUAACAUCAAAUCGUACCCCAAACCGACACAGGUGGUCAGGUAGAGAAUACCAAGGCGCUUGAGAGAACUCGGGUGAAGGAACUAGGCAAAAUGGUGCCGUAACUUCGGGAGAAGGCACGCUGACACGUAGGUGAAGUGAUUUACUCAUGGAGCUGAAGUCAGUCGAAGAUACCAGCUGGCUGCAACUGUUUAUUAAAAACACAGCACUGUGCAAACACGAAAGUGGACGUAUACGGUGUGACGCCUGCCCGGUGCCGGAAGGUUAAUUGAUGGGGUCAGCGCAAGCGAAGCUCCUGAUCGAAGCCCCGGUAAACGGCGGCCGUAACUAUAACGGUCCUAAGGUAGCGAAAUUCCUUGUCGGGUAAGUUCCGACCUGCACGAAUGGCGUAAUGAUGGCCAGGCUGUCUCCACCCGAGACUCAGUGAAAUUGAACUCGCUGUGAAGAUGCAGUGUACCCGCGGCAAGACGGAAAGACCCCGUGAACCUUUACUAUAGCUUGACACUGAACAUUGAGCCUUGAUGUGUAGGAUAGGUGGGAGGCUUUGAAGUGUGGACGCCAGUCUGCAUGGAGCCGACCUUGAAAUACCACCCUUUAAUGUUUGAUGUUCUAACGUGGACCCGUUACCCGGGUUGCGGACAGUGUCUGGUGGGUAGUUUGACUGGGGCGGUCUCCUCCUAAAGAGUAACGGAGGAGCACGAAGGUUGGCUAAUCCUGGUCGGACAUCAGGAGGUUAGUGCAAUGGCAUAAGCCAGCUUGACUGCGAGCGUGACGGCGCGAGCAGGUGCGAAAGCAGGUCAUAGUGAUCCGGUGGUUCUGAAUGGAAGGGCCAUCGCUCAACGGAUAAAAGGUACUCCGGGGAUAACAGGCUGAUACCGCCCAAGAGUUCAUAUCGACGGCGGUGUUUGGCACCUCGAUGUCGGCUCAUCACAUCCUGGGGCUGAAGUAGGUCCCAAGGGUAUGGCUGUUCGCCAUUUAAAGUGGUACGCGAGCUGGGUUUAGAACGUCGUGAGACAGUUCGGUCCCUAUCUGCCGUGGGCGCUGGAGAACUGAGGGGGGCUGCUCCUAGUACGAGAGGACCGGAGUGGACGCAUCACUGGUGUUCGGGUUGUCAUGCCAAUGGCACUGCCCGGUAGCUAAAUGCGGAAGAGAUAAGUGCUGAAAGCAUCUAAGCACGAAACUUGCCCCGAGAUGAGUUCUCCCUGAGACUUAAAGUCUCCUGAAGGAACGUUGAAGACGACGACGUUGAUAGGCC